GCCUCCUUCCACAAGUCAGUGCCUUGAGUAUACUGCAAUCAGUUGAACAUUUUCUUAGCACCGGUGGAGCUUCUUGUAAAUUGAACGCUUCUUCAUUCACAGUAGAUAUUACUGCAUCUGAGGAUCAUUGUCGGGCAAUUCUCAAGAAUGGGGCAUGUGAAAUGGACAAAGGCGGCAGUUGUGUAACUGUGGAAAAAUCAGAGCCUCAACCCU
Molecule: unclassified non-coding RNA, 213 nt
Filed under: Hevea brasiliensis (rubber tree)
Lineage: Eukaryota; Viridiplantae; Streptophyta; Magnoliopsida; Malpighiales; Euphorbiaceae
Source: RNAcentral